UAAAGCAAGAAGAAGCACCCGCUUCUCACCUGUUGACAACGGUUGUCAGGUUAGAAAUCGUCAGUUUUUAUUUAAUGAGCUGAUUAAAUGUGGGUGCCGUGUGUACCUGCAUUUUUUUGCGUAU
The sequence is a regulatory RNA element, 124 nucleotides long. It matches the Rfam family "Ribosomal protein L20 leader". Rfam says of the family: This family is a putative r-protein leader autoregulatory structure found in B. subtilis and other low-GC Gram-positive bacteria. It is located in the 5' untranslated regions of mRNAs encoding initiation factor 3 followed by ribosomal proteins L35 and L20 (infC-rpmI-rplT). A Rho-independent transcription terminator structure that is probably involved in regulation is included at the 3' end. The record is from Rfam.